GAGUUUGAUCAUGGCUCAGAACGAACGCUGGCGGCAUGCCUAACACAUGCAAGUCGAACGAAGGCUUCGGCCUUAGUGGCGCACGGGUGAGUAACGCGUGGGAACCUGCCUCUUGGUUUGGAAUAACUGCGGGAAACUGCAGCUAAUACCGGAUACGUCGGUUGGAUGUGGUGUCCAGUCUGAGAAAGAUUUAUCGCCGAGAGAGGGGCCCGCGUUCGAUUAGGUAGUUGGUGAGGUAACGGCUCACCAAGCCUACGAUCGAUAACUGGUCUGAGAGGAUGAUCAGUCACACCGGAACUGAGACACGGUCCGGACUCCUACGGGGGGCAGCAGUGGGGAAUAUUGGACAAUGGACGAAAGCCUGAUCCAGCAAUGCCGCGUGUGUGAAGAAGGCCUUCGGGUUGUAAAGCACUUUCGCACGUGACGGUGAUGACGGUAACGUGAGAAGAAGCCCCGGCUAACUUCGUGCCAGCAGCCGCGGUAAUACG
Molecule: ribosomal RNA, 488 nt
Filed under: uncultured eubacterium WR1106
Lineage: Bacteria
Description: bacterial SSU rRNA
Rfam family: Bacterial small subunit ribosomal RNA
Source: RNAcentral